RNAcentral lists this ribosomal RNA (475 nucleotides) under uncultured bacterium. RNAcentral's name for it is "bacterial SSU rRNA". It matches the Rfam family "Bacterial small subunit ribosomal RNA", at positions 50 to 518 of the family's 1533-position model. The record is from RNAcentral.
AACACAUGCAAGUCGAGGGGCGAGCACGGGAGUAGCAAUACUUGGUGGCGACCGGCGCACGGGUGAGUAACGCGUAUGCAACCUACCUAUCAGAGGGGAAUAACCGGCGAAAGUCGGACUAAUACCGCAUAAAACAGGGGCACCGCAUGGUGAUAUUUGUUAAAGAAAUUCGCUGAUAGAUGGGCAUGCGUUCCAUUAGGUAGUUGGUGAGGUAACGGCUCACCAAGCCGACGAUGGAUAGGGGAACUGAGAGGUUGGUCCCCCACACUGGUACUGAGACACGGACCAGACUCCUACGGGAGGCAGCAGUGAGGAAUAUUGGUCAAUGGGCGGGAGCCUGAACCAGCCAAGUCGCGUGAAGGAAGAAGGAUCUAUGGUUCGUAAACUUCUUUUGCAGGGGAAUAAAGUGCAGGACGUGUCCUGUUUUGUAUGUACCCUGAGAAUAAGGAUCGGCUAACUCCGUGCCAGCCGCGGC